This is a long non-coding RNA of Thalassophryne amazonica, 196 nucleotides long. RefSeq lists it as uncharacterized. Lineage: Eukaryota; Metazoa; Chordata; Actinopteri; Batrachoidiformes; Batrachoididae. The transcript is spliced from 2 exons. The record is from RefSeq and is a predicted model, not a curated record.
GGGGGGUGGGGUGCACUUUGUUCUCUGCCACUGGGGCUUGGUACAGAGAAUAGCGAGAGGUCUUGUUGGCGUGACGCUUUGUGUCAGAUCACUCAGGAGCUGCAGACCCUCAGAAUCUAACGUCUCAGAUUCCUCGAUCUGCAGAAACGGUCGGUCAGCGCAAGGAGGACGUCUUCAAGUACAACUACAAGAAAAA